Long non-coding RNA from Gallus gallus (chicken), 868 nucleotides. NCBI's taxonomy places the organism in Eukaryota, Metazoa, Chordata, Aves, Galliformes, Phasianidae. The record is from Ensembl.
CCCUUCCUGCUGACUGUGGCCUAACUUAAGGUAACGUGUGAAACUACAAAAACACAGAAAACCUCAGAAAUAACUGGAAGGAUUAUUUUAUGCAUGCUUAUUUUCUUCUAGAAAUUAUUGUCCAUUAACCCAGAGGCAGCAGGAAGGAUGAGUGGUGCAAGAGAGCAGAGUCACCACUUUGCUUCCACAGAUGACCAUUGUGGUGAUUGUCCCAGGAGCAUACAGUGAGCAUAGAGUGGCACUGCAUGUUCUAGGCCCCUACUUCGGAUCAACUCAUUAUCCCGAAUAAACGAUGUGUCAUUCCCAUUAUUUAUGUUUCACUGCAGCCAAAGUAUCUGGACCUCGUUUUGCAGAGAGAAGUAUGGAAGAGGAAUUCAUGGACUGUUUUUCAGCUCCUUUUUCUUCUGAUUUUGCUACCUGCUACUGUGUCCUUUUCAGCUUAUAGAAGGUUUUGGCACAUUGCACAUCAUCUGACUGACAGUGGUGGAUUGAGGUAUAGAUGUGGAGUUUGCCACAUACCAAGGCCAGAUUUCUCAGGUGCCUCACUAUUGUUUAAAGAAUAAAGUAAACUAACCUUCAUUGUGGGAGAGGCAGACGAAAGGCAGAGGAUUAGUAAAGGCAGUCCAAGCCUUUUAGUUGUAAAUUGGCAGUGAUAGCAGAUGAUAGCUAUUUGCAUCUGAAGAUUGUUGCUGGACCAUGUGGAAAGAACUUGUGGUUUCCAUUCCAUCUCUUGUGAAAGGCAGCACCACCACACGCAGUAUCACUUUUCUCAUUCCCUCGGGCAAUUUCAACAAAAAGACAGAUGGGCAUUUUUCUGACCCAACUUUUGGGAAUCAGUGAGAAUUUUGCCAUCCGUUUCAGUGGCUCU